This 451-nucleotide ribosomal RNA is filed under the name uncultured bacterium. RNAcentral describes it as "SSU rRNA". It matches the Rfam family "Bacterial small subunit ribosomal RNA", at positions 26 to 518 of the family's 1533-position model. The record is from RNAcentral.
AGAGCGAACGCUGGCGGCAUGCUUAACACAUGCAAGUCGCACGGGCAGGGGUAACUCUGUCAGUGGCGGACGGGUGAGUAACGCGUAGGUAUCUAUCCUCGGGUGGGGGACAACCACGGGAAACUGUGGCUAAUACCGCAUGAUGACUGAGGUCCAAAGGCGCAAGUCGCCUGGGGAGGAGCCUGCGUCCGAUUAGCUUGUUGGUGGGGUAAAGGCCUACCAAGGCUCCGAUCGGUAGCUGGUCUGAGAGGAUGAUCAGCCAGACUGGGACUGAGAACGGCCCAGACUCCUACGGGAGGCAGCAGUAGGGAAUUUUCCACAAUGGGCGAAAGCCUGAUGGAGCAACGCCGCGUGCAGGAUGAAGGCUUUCGGGUCGUAAACUGCUUUUAUCUGUGACGAUUAUGACGGUAGCAGAUGAAUAAGGAUCGGCUAACUCCGUGCCAGCAGCCGC